RNAcentral lists this ribosomal RNA (404 nucleotides) under uncultured bacterium. Its description in RNAcentral is "bacterial SSU rRNA". It matches the Rfam family "Bacterial small subunit ribosomal RNA", at positions 355 to 776 of the family's 1533-position model. The record is from RNAcentral.
UGGGGAAUAUUGGACAAUGGGCGCAAGCCUGAUCCAGCCAUGCCGCGUGAGUGACGAAGGUCUUCGGAUUGUAAAACUCUUUUGGCGGGGACGAUAAUGACGGUACCCGCAGAAUAAGCCCCGGCUAACUUCGUGCCAGCAGCCGCGGUAAUACGAAGGGGGCUAGCGUUGUUCGGAAUCACUGGGCGUAAAGCGCACGUAGGCGGAUGUGCCAGUCAGGGGUGAAAUCCCGGAGCUCAACUCCGGAACUGCCUCUGAUACAGCACAUCUUGAGUUCGAGAGAGGUGGGUGGAAUUCCUAGUGUAGAGGUGAAAUUCGUAGAUAUUAGGAAGAACACCGGUGGCGAAGGCGGCCCACUGGCUCGAUACUGACGCUGAGGUGCGAAAGCGUGGGGAGCAAACAGG